GCCGUGUUCCCAUAAUGGUAUUGGAACGGAUUGCUAAUCCGUCGCCGGAUAUCCGGCUUAUAGGUUCGAGUCCUAUACACGGCG
This 84-nucleotide transfer RNA is filed under the name Mediterraneibacter hominis. It matches the Rfam family "tRNA". Rfam says of the family: Transfer RNA (tRNA) molecules are approximately 80 nucleotides in length. Their secondary structure includes four short double-helical elements and three loops (D, anti-codon, and T loops). The record is from Rfam by way of RNAcentral. Lineage: Bacteria; Bacillati; Bacillota; Clostridia; Lachnospirales; Lachnospiraceae.